This 450-nucleotide ribosomal RNA is filed under the name uncultured bacterium. RNAcentral describes it as "bacterial SSU rRNA". It matches the Rfam family "Bacterial small subunit ribosomal RNA", at positions 354 to 796 of the family's 1533-position model. The record is from RNAcentral.
GUGAGGAAUAUUGGUCAAUGGGCGGAAGCCUGAUCCAGCCAUGCCGCGUGUGUGAAGAAGGUCUUCGGAUUGUAAAGCACUUUAAGUUGGGAGGAAGGGCAGUAAGUUAAUACCUUGCUGUUUUGACGUUACCGACAGAAUAAGCACCGGCUAACUUCGUGCCAGCAGCCGCGGUAAUACGAAGGGUGCAAGCGUUAAUCGGAAUUACUGGGCGUAAAGCGCGCGUAGGUGGUUUUGUAAGUUGGAGGUGAAAUCCCCGGGCUCAACCUGGGAACUGCCUCCAAAACUGAAUGACUAGAGUACGGUAGAGGGUAGUGGAAUUUCCUGUGUAGCGGUGAAAUGCGUAGAUAUAGGAAGGAACACCAGUGGCGAAGGCGACUACCUGGACUGAUACUGACACUGAGGUGCGAAAGCGUGGGGAGCAAACAGGAUUAGAAACCCGGGUAGUCC